CCUGAGAAACCCAAAAGAUCGAAUGGGGAGAUUCAUCGUCAGCUCAUUUUAUAUAUAUACUAGUUAUGAUAUGGGUUACUACUUGUAGUAUUGCCUGUACAUUCUUGUAUAUUUAAUUGUAAGAUGUUGUCGGCGUGCACUUCUCCCCUAGUAGGACGUCGCGACCCGUUGAGUUUUGUUGGUCUACGGCCCAAAUGGAAGCUUUUAAUGAAUAUUUUAUAUUUAUUGAAAACCAUUGGUGUUUCCUGACUGACACUCGUCGGUAUUCGUAUGGUAUUGAGCCGCAUAUUAUAUGCGUNCUUAUCUGUCGCAAGCGAGAUUAUUUACUGAUAGUACGGACCUAGUGCCGUCGUUGGUAAUAAUCAGCUGUUGGUUGUACAGAAUUCUAGGACUGGCUCGUUGAAAUACCGGUCAGCGAUGCUACUGCUUUG
RNAcentral lists this ribosomal RNA (431 nucleotides) under Pseudovipio sp. RNAcentral describes it as "eukaryotic LSU rRNA". The record is from RNAcentral. Lineage: Eukaryota; Metazoa; Arthropoda; Insecta; Hymenoptera; Braconidae.